This 249-nucleotide ribosomal RNA is filed under the name Alexandrium margalefii. RNAcentral describes it as "partial Bacterial large subunit ribosomal RNA". It matches the Rfam family "Bacterial large subunit ribosomal RNA", at positions 1643 to 1891 of the family's 2925-position model. Lineage: Eukaryota; Dinophyceae; Gonyaulacales; Pyrocystaceae. The record is from RNAcentral.
CGUACCCCAAACCGACACAGGUGGACAGGUAGAGCAUACCAAGGCGCUUGAGAGAACGAUGUUGAAGGAACUCGGCAAAAUACCUGCGUAACUUCGGGAGAAGCAGGCCCCGUUGGUGGGCAACCAUCGGCGGGGGGCACAAACCAGGGGGUAGCGACUGUUUACUAAAAACACAGGGCUCUGCGAAGUCGCAAGACGACGUAUAGGGUCUGACGCCUGCCCGGUGCCGGAAGGUUAAUUGAUGGGGUU